This 70-nucleotide transfer RNA is filed under the name Daphnia melanica. RNAcentral's name for it is "tRNA-Lys". The record is from RNAcentral. Lineage: Eukaryota; Metazoa; Arthropoda; Branchiopoda; Diplostraca; Daphniidae.
CAUCAGAUAGCUUAAAGUAAGCAAAAGCCUCUUAAGCUUAGAGAUGCUAGUCGACGCCUAGCUUUGAUGA